AGUAGUUUGACUCCGUGGCUCGAGGACAACGCUGGCGGCGUGCUUCAUACAUGCAAGUCGAACGAGAAGCUAGAGCUUGCUCUAGUGGAAAGUGGCGGACGGGUGAGUAACACGUAGGAAACCUGCCUUUUAGUGGGGGACAACAGAGGGAAACUUCUGCUAAUACCCCAUAUGAGCGUAGCUGAAAUGCUAUUCUUGAAAACUCCGGUGCUAAAAGAUGGGCCUGCGCCUGAUUAGCUAGUUGGCAGGGUAACGGCCUACCAAGGCAACGAUCAGUAGCCGACUUGAGAGAGUGAUCGGCCACAUUGGGACUGAGACACGGCCCAAACUCC
This 332-nucleotide ribosomal RNA is filed under the name uncultured cyanobacterium. RNAcentral describes it as "bacterial SSU rRNA". It matches the Rfam family "Bacterial small subunit ribosomal RNA", at positions 1 to 339 of the family's 1533-position model. The record is from RNAcentral. Lineage: Bacteria; Bacillati; Cyanobacteriota.